GACGAACGCUGGCGGCGUGCUUAACACAUGCAAGUCGAACGAUGAAGCCGGAGCUUGCUCUGGUGAAUUAGUGGCGAACGGGUGAGUAACACGUGAGUAACCUGCCCUUGACUCUGGGAUAACUGCGGGAAACUGUAGCUAAUACCGGAUACGACCCUCGGAGGCAUCUCCUGGGGGUGGAAAGAAUUUCGGUCAAGGAUGGACUCGCGGCCUAUCAGCCAGUUGGUGAGGUAAAGGCUCACCAAGGCGACGACGGGUAGCCGGCCUGAGAGGGUGACCGGCCACACUGGGACUGAGACACGGCCCAGACUCCUACGGGAGGCAGCAGUGGGGAAUAUUGCACAAUGGGCGCAAGCCUGAUGCAGCAACGCCGCGUGAGGGAUGACGGCCUUCGGGUUGUAAACCUCUUUUGUGUGGGACGAAAUUAUUGACGGUACCACAUGAAUAAGGGGCUCCUAACUCUGUGCCAGCCGCCGCCGUAA
RNAcentral lists this ribosomal RNA (482 nucleotides) under uncultured bacterium. RNAcentral's name for it is "partial 16S ribosomal RNA". It matches the Rfam family "Bacterial small subunit ribosomal RNA", at positions 28 to 523 of the family's 1533-position model. The record is from RNAcentral.